CCGCACUGUUUUAAACCCCCCACGAGCUGCCUGUCGCUUUUGGGACAAGAAAAAGUGCAAGAGAAAAAUCAAGAAUUAUCCAAAGCUGAACGUCUGUGCAGUGACCUUCAGCUAUUUCACCUCUUGAACAUUA
Small nucleolar RNA from Danio rerio (zebrafish), 133 nucleotides. The record is from Ensembl. Lineage: Eukaryota; Metazoa; Chordata; Actinopteri; Cypriniformes; Danionidae.